This 777-nucleotide ribosomal RNA is filed under the name uncultured Neocallimastigales. RNAcentral describes it as "partial large subunit ribosomal RNA". It matches the Rfam family "Eukaryotic large subunit ribosomal RNA", at positions 23 to 634 of the family's 3401-position model. Lineage: Eukaryota; Fungi; Neocallimastigomycota; Neocallimastigomycetes; Neocallimastigales. The record is from RNAcentral.
AUAGAGACUCAGAGCUGCAUAUCAAUAAGCGGAGGAAAAGAAACUAACUAGGAUUCCCUUAGUAACGGCGAGUGAAGCGGGAAGAGCUCAAAUUUGAAAUCUUCAAGGUUCUACCUUGACGAAUUGUAGUUUAAAGAAGUGUUUUCUGUUGGAGUUUUGGUAAAAGUUCUUUGGAAUAGGACAUCAUAGAGGGUGAGAAUCCCGUAUUUGACCAGUUAUUUCCAGCUUUGUGAUACACUUUCAAAGAGUCGGAUUGUUUGGGAAUGCAGUCCAAAAUGGGUGGUAAAUUUCAUCUAAAGCUAAAUAUUGGCGAGAGACCGAUAGCGAACAAGUACCGUGAGGGAAAGAUGAAAAGAACUUUGAAAAGAGAGUUAAACAGUACGUGAAAUUGUCAAAAGGGAAGCGUUUGACACCAGUGUUGUUUUCUCGAAAAUCAAUUAAAAAAGGCUUGAUUUUGUGUUGUAUUGACUUUAUCAAGCUUUCUUCACUCUUUUCAUUGUCUUUUUUAAUGCACUUUUCGUUUAACAAGUCAACAUCAGUUUCUUUUGUUGUAAAAGGGUCAUUGGAAGGUGGCUUUCUUUUCGGAGAAAGUGUUUAUAGCCUUUGGCCUCUGCAAUCGGAGAGAUUGAGGUCUGCAGCGUAGAUCCUUCGGGGUUAGAUACAUUUGUGCUAAGUUAUAGCCUUUCAUAGACAACUUGUUGACUAUGAUCAGUCAUGUAGCUUACUCGCUUAUGCUAUUUUACCUACGCUUAGGAUGUUGACGAUCAGCUGAGCGCG